RNAcentral lists this ribosomal RNA (253 nucleotides) under uncultured bacterium. Its description in RNAcentral is "partial 16S ribosomal RNA". It matches the Rfam family "Bacterial small subunit ribosomal RNA", at positions 524 to 776 of the family's 1533-position model. The record is from RNAcentral.
UACGUAGGUGGCAAGCGUUGUCCGGAAUGAUUGGGCGUAAAGCGCGCGCAGGCGGUUCUUUAAGUCUGGUGGGAAAGCCCACGGCUCAACCGUGGAGGGUCAUUGGAAACUGGGGGACUUGAGUGCAGAAGAGGAAAGCGGAAUUCCACGUGUAGCGGUGAAAUGCGUAGAGAUGUGGAGGAACACCAGUGGCGAAGGCGGCUUUCUGGUCUGUAACUGACGCUGAGGCGCGAAAGCGUGGGGAGCAAACAGG